This 612-nucleotide ribosomal RNA is filed under the name uncultured bacterium. RNAcentral's name for it is "bacterial SSU rRNA". The stretch from base 1 to 518 matches the Rfam family "Bacterial small subunit ribosomal RNA", at positions 338 to 873 of the family's 1533-position model. The record is from RNAcentral.
CCUACGGGAGGCAGCAGUGGGGAAUAUUGGACAAUGGGCGCAAGCCUGAUCCAGCAAUGCCGCGUGAGUGAUGAAGGCCUUAGGGUCGUAAAGCUCUUUUACCAGGGAUGAUAAUGACAGUACCUGGAGAAUAAGCUCCGGCUAACUCCGUGCCAGCAGCCGCGGUAAUACGGAGGGAGCUAGCGUUGUUCGGAAUUACUGGGCGUAAAGCGUACGUAGGCGGUUAUUCAAGUCAGAGGUGAAAGCCCGGGGCUCAACCCCGGAACGGCCUUUGAAACUAGGUAGCUAGAAUCUUGGAGAGGUCAGUGGAAUUCCGAGUGUAGAGGUGAAAUUCGUAGAUAUUCGGAAGAACACCAGUGGCGAAGGCGACUGACUGGACAAGUAUUGACGCUGAGGUACGAAAGCGUGGGGAGCAAACAGGAUUAGAUACCCUGGUAGUCCACGCCGUAAACGAUGAUAACUAGCUGUUCGGGCACUUGGUGCUUGAGUGGCGCAGCUACGACAUUAAGUUAUCCGUCCGUCGGGUAGGUACGGUCGCGAGAAGUUAAACUAACGAAAGGAAAGUUAGUAACGGUCGUGAGAGUGCCGAACGGACGACGACGAGGGAGGAGG